Physeter macrocephalus (sperm whale) is the source of this 3560-nucleotide long non-coding RNA. RefSeq lists it as uncharacterized. Lineage: Eukaryota; Metazoa; Chordata; Mammalia; Artiodactyla; Physeteridae. The transcript is spliced from 3 exons. The record is from RefSeq and is a predicted model, not a curated record.
GGACGCGCAGGCUCAGCGGCCAUGGCUCACGGGCCCCGCCGCUCCGCGGCAUGUGGGAUCCUCCCAGACCGGGGCGUGAACCCGGUUCCCCUGCAUCGGCAGGCGGACGCGCAACCACCGCGCCACCAGGGAAGCCCUGUGCUUCCUCUUUAACUGUCAUUUGCUUCAUCCCAAAGGGUCAUUAAAUGCUCUAGGGCAGAGGCUAUCAGAGAAUUCUGUAUCCUGGUACCAGUGCUAGGGAUACAGUAGGUGAUAUAAAUAUUUUUAAAACUGAAUUGGGAUACUAAAACCAAUAAAUAAUUUAAAAAAAUCUAAUCUAGGGUGCAAGAGAUGUUUCCCUUUUUUGUUUUUUUCCCACCCAGAAGGUCCUUACGGUAAAACUGAACAUCUAAGACCUUCGUGGGUUUGACACAAGACUAGUAAGCCCAUGACAUCUUCUAAAAGCUUGGAUAUUCCCCCAACUGAAAGGUUCUAGAAGCAGCUACUCAAAGUCAGUGACAUGGGAUGACUUUUAAGUGAUUCCAAAUGCUGUUUCCAGAGAGACGGCGGGAAGAAAUACCACCAGGUACAGGAUUUCUACAGUUCAUCGUGGUCCAAUUGCUCUUUGGAGAAAAAAGGUUAUCAAUUAAAACACGAAUCACAGCACUUCCACAGAAAGAAAAAUACUUGGAAGCAUUUUUCACGGACAGAAAGUGCAUUAGGGACGUAUGAUUGCUGUUUCUCCUCCCCGAGUUAAUUCUUAAUAACCCAGCCUGAACGGGGAUGAUACUUUUUGCAAGAUCUGCCUUCAGGCUUUCAGUGACUGAGCUGAAUGGUGUUAGAGUAUUUAUGCUUCUUGUAUGCCGUAACUAAUAUAAGCCAUCAACAUGACUAUUUCUUCAGGAUUCUGUCUUUCUAGGGUCUCACGUUUUUCUUCCCCCUUAUGUGCUUUAAACUUCCAGUUUUGGGGGCAAAUGAUUUUAUUUGUCUAGAAUGAUAAAGCAGAGAUUCUUCUUUUUUUUCCCAAAAGGAGUUAUGAGUUUUUAAUUAAAAACUUUCCAUCCCUGUUUCAAGGUCAGAUUUUGAAAUCAAUAAACUGUCCUUAGAGUGAGCUUACACAUCCUGUAGGGAGGGGAUCAUUAGUUUGGCCUCCCCUUGUUCCUGCUUUGACUUCCCGUCACAAACACUUCCUUGUUGGCUGUGUCAGGGGCGCUGGGGAAGAAACUGCUCCUUUUUCUCCUCUGCUCAGUGGCUCCCCCUCAUGGGAGGAGAAAUCGUUCACUUGAUUAGUGACAAGGCAGGAUCUGACACCCACUGACACCCAACUCUACUGGGUAGGGGUUAACAGCCUAAAGCUGCUGCUCUCAUGUGUUCUGCAUUUUCGCUCAUCUGUCCUGGGAACUGGCAGUGCCCACAGGCUGCACCUGCUCCCCUCUCAGUCCUCUCCUCUCCUUGGGGAAGCUCCCCCAGGCAGCCCUACUCCCCAAGGGAAACCUGCAGCUUUCUAGCUGCUCUGUGGGCAGCUGGCCCAUCCGUUUAGUUCAGAGGGGCAAGAGUAGAAGCCCACGCCACAUCUCCAGUCCAACUCCGCCAUAAUGAAACCAACAUCCUGAUCCCUGACACCUAUGUCUAUUUCUUAAUUGAUUCCCAAUCCAGAGAGCAGGAGUGGGGUGUGAUUACCAGCCUCCCCCAGCCCCGACUCCAAAUGCCAACAGAUACUAUACACAAAGUGUUAUCAACCAGGUUGAUUUUUAAAGCUUGUAACUCCCGAGUGCUUCUUCCUUCCUGAGGCAGAGUCUUCUCUUGGUGCUUUAAAAGACAGUGAUUAAGGCUGAAGGCUAAAAUGCAGCUGUGCAUUUUAGGUUUCAAAAUGCAACUACAUUGAGCCAAUCGGAUCCAUUCACCUUAGUUCAUCGUUGAUCUCCUCUAGGGACUUAAAUUGAUCGUACUCACAAGUAAAAUGACAGGUCGUGGGAGAAUCUGGUAAUCCAUUACCUCUUUCCUAGACCCACCCUCGUGAGGAAUUCCACUUUCUCAGGCUUCAAGGUUCACUGUCAUAUCGGCAGCUCCCCAGCAUCGGGCAGCAGGAAACUUAUCCUGCCUACUGAUGCAGCAACAAAAGUUUCAGGCUUCCUAACUGACAUUUACAGGGUGCCUUCAAGUAGUGAGCGUCGUGUGAGGAUCUAGAAAGCAUGAUGAACAAGACAAACACAAAACCAGGAGACAGAAAGAAAUCGACUCUGAGAAGAUGGCACUAGUUUGUAGCAACUCAAUCAUUAAUAUCUGGUCAUAGCUGAGAAGUAGCUUUGGAGGAAUAACUUUCUAAUCUUUCUUGCUGAAACUGGAUUGGGAGCUGUGUUGUGGAGGAAGGUGUGCUCAUCACUGGCCUCUCCAGAGCCUACCCAUCCUCCAUAUGGAGCCCGACUUCCCACAGAGUCUACCUUGACCUCUGCAACCACAGUCACUGAAGCCUAGUCACGGACUAGUACAGGAUGUGCCACGUCUUUUUCCAUGAUCAGCUUACGGGUCCUAUUUCUCUAAAUAGACUGUAAGCCCUUUACGGGAACAAAUUAGGCAUUAUGUAUUCCUCCCUAACAUAUAAACACAGCAUAUCUUCAAGUGAUAUUUCCUAAAUGAAAGAGUAGAACUGGGAUAAUCUUGCUUUGAGAAGAGAAAAUUGAGAGGGAACAUAAGGAUGUUAAGAGUAUUUCUCAAGUGCAGGGAGGAUUCUUUAUAUGAAGCGUAUGUGCAUACAGUCUGCAAGUUAGGAAAGUUUCUUAAACGCUAUGCUUUAUUUCUCCAUUUGUAAACUGCAGCUACUAAUAGGGUUAUUAAAAAUAAAUUACAUGGGUUAAUACCUAUUAAGUGCUUAGAAGAUGAUCUGGGACAUAAUGAUUGCUCAAAUAAAUAACAGCUAUUAUUAUUAAGCAUGCACUUUCAUGUACAUGAUGGUGAGCUUUCUACUGAGAAACUUGGCUUAAAACAGCAGCAUCAGGGAAAUAGUUAUGAGACACUGGAAUAGUCAAAGAAACUGACAACACUGCUCUAAAUCUACUUUUAAAAAAAAAAACAAGUAAGGCCUUCUGUGGUGGCGCAGUGGUUAAGAAUCCGCCUGCCAAUGCAGGGGACACGGGUCUGAGCCCUGGCCGGGAAGAUCCCACGUGCCGCAGAGCAACUAAGCCCGUGCGCCACAACUACUGAGGCCUGCGCUCUAGAGCCCGUGAGCCACAACUACUGAGCCCUUGUGCCACAACUACUGAAGCCCACGCACCUAGAGCCCGUGCUCUGCAACAAGAGAAGCCACCGCAAUGAGAAGCCCGCGCACCGCAAUGAAGAGUAGCCCCCGCUCACCGCAACUGGAGAAAGCCUGCGCGCAGCAACAAAGACCCAACGUAGCAAAAAUAAAUAAAUUUUAUAUAUAUAUAUAUAUAUAUAUAACUUUAAAAAAAAAAAACGCAAGAAAGAUCCCUCUCUGUUGAAGGGAAGGAUGGAAUAAAUGCUUCUUCAAGUGAAAAAAGUAAUAUGUAUUCAUUGUAAAAUGAACAAACAAACAAACACUACAAAGAUGUAGAAACUUCCAG